GACGAACGCUGGCGGCGUGCUUAACACAUGCAAGUCGAACGGAAAGGCCUGCUUUCCCUUGUGGAUUGCGGGUACUCGAGUGGCGAACGGGUGAGUAACACGUGAGUGGUCUGCCCCCAACUUGGGUAUAAGCCUGGGAAACUGGGUCUAAUUCCCGAUAGGACUGCAGGGUGGUGCCUGUGGUGGAAAACGAUUUUCUAGUGGUUGGGGAUGAGCUCGCGGCCUAUCAGCUUGUUGGUGGGGUAAUGGCCUACCAAGGCGGCGACGGGUAGCCGGCCUGAGAGGGUGGAGCGCCCCAUUGGGACUGAGAUACGGCCCAGACUCCUACGGGAGGCAGCAGUUGGGAAUAUUGCCCAAUGGGCGGAAGCCUGAUGCAGCGACGCCGCGUGGGGGAUGACGGCCUUCGGGUUGUAAACUCCUUUCGACCGCGAGGAAGCCACCUGGUUGGAAGGGUGGUGACGGUAGUGGUAGAAGAAGCACCGGCUAACUACGUG
RNAcentral lists this ribosomal RNA (494 nucleotides) under uncultured bacterium. RNAcentral describes it as "partial 16S ribosomal RNA". It matches the Rfam family "Bacterial small subunit ribosomal RNA", at positions 28 to 507 of the family's 1533-position model. The record is from RNAcentral.